This 83-nucleotide transfer RNA is filed under the name Caudoviricetes sp. RNAcentral's name for it is "tRNA-Tyr". It matches the Rfam family "tRNA". From Rfam's summary of the family: Transfer RNA (tRNA) molecules are approximately 80 nucleotides in length. Their secondary structure includes four short double-helical elements and three loops (D, anti-codon, and T loops). Further hydrogen bonds mediate the characteristic L-shaped molecular structure. tRNAs have two regions of fundamental functional importance: the anti-codon, which is responsible for specific mRNA codon recognition, and the 3' end, to which the tRNAs corresponding amino acid is attached (by aminoacyl-tRNA synthetases). tRNAs cope with the degeneracy of the genetic code in two manners: having more than one tRNA (with a specific anti-codon) for a particular amino acid; and 'wobble' base-pairing, i.e. permitting non-standard base-pairing at the 3rd anti-codon position. The record is from RNAcentral. Lineage: Duplodnaviria; Heunggongvirae; Uroviricota; Caudoviricetes.
UGGUGGAUAUGCAAGAGGUUAAAGCAGGCAGACUGUAAAUCUGUUCCCGAAAGGGUUCGUGAGUUCAAAUCUCACUCCACCAA